GGAAAGAUAAUAAAGGACACUUUAUUUGCUUUGUACAAGAAUUAUAAGGAAAAAGUGGAGCCUCGAUGUGGUACUUCAAUAGUUUCAUCUAUUCCAGAAUCAGUUGACAAUGAUAAUACUUCAACAAAUAUGAGUGAUUUGAAAAGACAAGCAAUCAUAGCGAAGUAUAAAAAACAAAAGGCACAAGUUUUUGGUGAUGGCAAUAUGUCAGAAUUAGACAAGUAUCUUAAUGAAAUAGUUGAAGAAUAUUGUGAUACUUUUGACAUUUUGGGAUGGUGGAAGCAAAAUUGUCACAGAUUUCCUAUCCUUUCUCAAAUUGCUCGUGAUGUAUUAGCUAUUCCGAUAUCGACAGUUGCUUCAGAAUCCGCUUUCAGUACUAGUGGUCGGGUACUUGAUUGUUUUAGGAGUUCAUUGACUCCUAAUGUGGUAGAAAGUCUUAUUUGUACUCAAGAUUGGCUUCGGUUAAAUUUGCAAUCACUCAAUGUUGAAGAAAUUUUAGAGGAUGUGGAAAAACUUGAAAAUGAUUUCUCAAAAAUCAUAAUGGACUCGUCUUCUUCGACAACACCGGUGACAUAAGGAUCAAUGGUAUAUUUAAAUAUUGUAUUUUAUAUAAAUUGACCUUGAUACUAAGAACAUGAAGUUAUAUGAUGAUAUAAGUGUUCUUGUUUCUAAUUUGCUCACUUUCUAAUUUACUCACUUUCUGUAGUAUUGUUAUUCCUCAAUUUUUGUGGUGUUUGCAGCUAUAUAGAAUCACUUGCGGAAAGAAAAAGGUAUGUCAAAUUUAAAAAAAACACACAAUUAAAUCUCUAUCAAAAGCUCUGGUGCUCAUUUGUGUCGUUCAUUGCUGGCAACCUUGCCAUCCAAGCUAGCAAUCUAGCUCAAUAGGACUUGAUCAAUUAAUGUUGACUACUUUAUGAUAAUUUUGACUAUGUUUUCUGUCUUGGAACUGGUUACUUUGUUUAAAAAAUUCUAGCAUCUCAAACUUUUCUAGUGAAAUAUGAAUUCUUUCUAUGUUGUUGAUUGAACUCGUAAGUUUCUAGCCGGACAAAUGUGGAAUCUGUUGACAUAAUCCACCAUGAAGUAGUCCAAAAAUUGAGAAAUAUGAGUUAGUGAUCAGAAACUCUACAUAACUUGCUUACCUCCAAUUUCUUGGAUUGACAUCAGCUGUAACAUUUAAUGGCCUUCAUUUAAAGUUUGAAAAGCUUUCGGUUCUUGAACUUGUGAGGCUUUGUUGGCUACAUUUGUUACUAUAAGCUUCUCCCCUUAUCCAUUUCAAACUCUAACUAGGAGUCCUGUGAAAUAGUUUUCUUUGUCCAUUUACUACUUGGUCUUUCCAAAAAUUUACAAAUUUUCUUAAUAGUAGCAUGCAGUUUGAUCUUAAAAAUUUACAAAUUUUCUUAAUAGUAGUCCUGUGAAUAGAUGAAUUUAUGCAAUUUGAUGUGUAUAAUGCAGGUUUAUUUGGAAAGGAUUGCUAAGGACACAUAGCUAUGUUGGGGUUGACCUUGCUGCUUUCUGUUUUGAUGUUGUUCUCUGCUGUAUACGUGAAAGCUGCCAUCCAAAUUAUGAAUUUUUUAUCUUGAUGUAACCAAACAAUUGUGUGAAGUUUUUUGUAUGUCUCAAACAAGUAGACUUUGCUUCUUUUGUGGUGUUUUCUUAUUGACAGUUUUAUUUAGAGUUCUCUUUUGUGACAACUCAAUUAUGUGAUUGAGUGAAAUGUAUGUUUGGUUUCAUCUGAACUGAAUGAGGAUAUGUGUUGGUUUCAUUCAUGUGAGUAUGUGACUUGCUUACUUCACUUUUUACAAUAUUCAAAAUUUAUGGUUUGUUGUAAGGUUAGACCUCCAAAUUAUAACCCAUGUAAAACAUGUCUGAUAAUUUCUGCUAGGUUAAUCUUUGAUUGGAUUUCUUUUUCCUUGCAGAUAUUCGGCAUAUUCCUUAUGUCCAGAGCUCUAGCAUAUUCCUUAUGGAUUUAAGUCAGAUAUCUGGUCCUUGGGUUGUUGCGUGUAUGAGAUGGCUGCUCAUCGACCUGCAUUUAAAGCUUUUGAAAGCUUAAUGUAAUUUGUUUUCCAGUUUUCUGUAACUGAUCACUUCAGAGAUGGAAACGCACAGCCAGAUCACCUUCAUGGGGUGUACUUCUUUUAUGACUUCUCGCCAAUUAAGGUGAUUUUCACAGAGGAAAACCGUUCAUUCUUGCAUUACGUGACACAGCUAUGUGCAAUAAUUGGAGGUGUCUUCACGGUGUCUGGAAUUAUCGAUGCAUUUGUUUAUCAUGGAAACCGAACCAUCAAGAAGAAAAGAGAGAUUGGAAAAUAUAGGUGAUUUAAUGGGAACAUUUCUGAAUGGUUUCAUGGUUUCUUGAUUCUGAUGGAAUGGGCUACAAAGUAGAGAAGCGCUGUAAAAUCGUUAUUAUAGGCCACAAACUUUAGCAAAUUGUGUUUUUUCUUUUGUAUUUUUAUGUGCAGUGCAAACGAUUGUCUGAUGCCAAGUUAAACUAAAAUUAAUGCAAUGUUAUAUUAUUUUACAUGAUUA
This is an RNA transcript of Zingiber officinale, 2526 nucleotides long. It is a transcript of the gene named endoplasmic reticulum-Golgi intermediate compartment protein 3-like, with no coding region annotated. NCBI's taxonomy places the organism in Eukaryota, Viridiplantae, Streptophyta, Magnoliopsida, Zingiberales, Zingiberaceae. The transcript is spliced from 6 exons. The record is from RefSeq and is a predicted model, not a curated record.